AUACGGAGGAUGCGAGCGUUAUCCGGAUUUAUUGGGCUUAAAGGGAGCGUAGGCGGGAGCUUAAGUCAGCGGUUAAAUGGUGCGGCUCAACCGUGCCCUGCCGUUGAAAAUGGGUUUCUUGAGAGUGCAAGAGGCGGAUGGAAUUCCUGGUGGAGAGGGGAAAUGCUUAGAUAUCAUGAAGAACUCCGAUUGCGAAGGCAGUCCGCUGGGGCACGUCUGACGCUGAUGCUCGAAGGUGCGGGAAUCAAAUAGGAUUAGAUACCCUGGUAGUCCGCACGGUAAACGAUGAUUACCCGCUGUCGGCGGCAGACAGUCGGCGGCCAAGCGAAAGCGAUAAGUAAUCCACCUGGGGAGUACGCCGGCAACGGUGAAACUCAAAUGAAUUGACGGGG
This 392-nucleotide ribosomal RNA is filed under the name uncultured bacterium. RNAcentral's name for it is "partial 16S ribosomal RNA". It matches the Rfam family "Bacterial small subunit ribosomal RNA", at positions 523 to 918 of the family's 1533-position model. The record is from RNAcentral.